Long non-coding RNA from Zea mays, 2080 nucleotides. RefSeq lists it as uncharacterized. The record is from RefSeq and is a predicted model, not a curated record. Lineage: Eukaryota; Viridiplantae; Streptophyta; Magnoliopsida; Poales; Poaceae. The transcript is spliced from 6 exons.
UGAUAAAUUUUCUCAAAUUUGUGAGGUUUUGAAUGCCUUGUCCAUUUGUGCCUUUUGAUAUUGUCACUCAUGUCUUUCUAAUGAUGGGCGAUGUUCACUGAUUGCUAGACUUCUCCAGGUUUUCAAAUGUAUCUAUAGAUUUGUUUUUUCCCUGAUCGUUAGAGUAUUCUAGGUAACAACUUUGCUCGAAUUUAUGAGGUUUUGAAUGCCAUGUUUAUUUUGCCCUUUGAUAUUUUCGCUUCUGUAUUUCUGAUGACGGGACUAAUGUAGGUUGUGAAUAUGGUGGAAUUUCUUGAUUAAUGUCUUGGCGUGGGGAUUCAGUUGCCUGGGUACCAGAUAUAGCGAUGAGCGAAAUUUAAGGUGUGAAUCCCAGGUAGCAGAUUCACAGGAAACUUUUGGGGCCUUGAUAUUGAUUCCCUAAUGUUUGUUGGGAUUGCUUUCAUCGGUUUUUUCUUUGUUGGAUCGGUCACUACCUUGGCGUAUUUAGGCCCCAGAGAAUUGAUUUUUCAGGUUAUAUCUGAUUUGACUCAAGGUAGGGUAUGUGUCCACUUCUUUUUCCCCUGAACUAAAAUUCAUGUUUACAUUUAGGUUUUAGUUACAAAUAAUGAUGGAUAUUUGUUGCUCGGAAUUUCUAUAAAAGAAUUAGAAACAGUGCAUGUUUUUUUAUCUAGAUCACAUACAUGCUUACAGCUUAUAUACCCAUUGUUUGCAUUGUAAAACAAGAAUAUGUAAGCCAUAUAGACUCGUGAUGAGAUUCACUCGCUAUUGUCUGUUCUUCAGAUUUCUUCAUGGCUUUUCAGUCCUAGACACAGCAACCCCUAUACUUUUCUUGAACUAAGUUUGGAAGGUAUUCUACAAAAGUAGUAAGAGGAUUAGGUUCCUUAAUACCUUCAGAUUCAUGCACCGCACUCAUAUUUCAUGUUCGAAAGUGGAAACUGCUCCUUUGGCUGGUCUUGUAACAUAUUCUGACAAAGAAAUGUUCCUACAUUGUAUGAGGUUAUAUAUGCUAGGCUGCUAGCAACCUUUAUGUUAACCCUUUCAUACUUCUGUUAUAGUAUUCAUUAGGACAACAGUCACUCAAAAUCAUUACUUCAUUUUCAUUUAUCAUUUGUUACUCUGAUCUCAUAUGGGCUACCUUUUUUGGAAAUAAUGCUGGUGAGUUUCAAACCUCAUUGGAAUCUAUUCAGAAUUCACUAGCAGAUGGGUUGCUAAAACUGACAGAACAAGUAACUUCUGACAAUCGGAGUAUUGCAUCUUUAUCUAUAUGUAUGCACAUUUGGUUGAAAUUCUAUGCAGUGUCAACAGGUACACACUUUACAAGAUUACAUUUUCAUUACAAGAUGCUUGAUUGCAGCCAAUAUUUUCAUUUCUUUGGUGCUUGUGUAGAAGUAUCGCCUUGCAAAGUAUAUACCAGACUCUCAUGCUAAAGGUUUUAAGGACGACAAGAAAGUUUGAGUGAUUCCCUCUCGAACAUGGAUUAUGUACCAUAUUCUGAAAUGUGUUUAGAGGAUUGCAAAUCAAUGAGGCACUAAAGAUGCAACUGGAAGUUCAGAAGCGGCUACACGAGCAACUGGAGGUAUUUGAAGGUGUUUGAGAUAAAUAAUGAUGCUAAAAUGAAAAGGACAAUGCGACGUCCCCUACCAUCUGGUCGUGUUAGUUCUACACAUGCUGCCAUGUGGGCUACAAGUGCAGGAAUUGCAGGAACAACUUUGCUGGCCUCUCGAAGGUUAGCGCUAUGUCGUGGUGCUCCACUUUAAAGAUGUGCAUGCCACGUCUACACUUCCCGUCUCUGAUUAUAGAUUAGGUCUUUACUCCCUGAUGUUUAGCCAGUGCGUGCUGUUACCCACUAGGUCUAGCCGUAGUCAGUGACUGCACAACCACAACCCGCUCUUGUGUAUUUUGCGUUUGCGGAUCGCAUCGCAUGUUAUUUUGGUCCUUCUAUAUUCAUGCUACAAGGCUGCAAACUGUGGUGCUCAUACAUUUAUGUAACCAGUAACCUAUAACGACUUUGAUGUAUAUUAUAUUUUGUAACAGUGAACUUGACUAUCGUAGAUAUGUAGCUUGCUGGAACGAUUUUUUA